This is a long non-coding RNA of Cornus florida, 1136 nucleotides long. RefSeq lists it as uncharacterized. Lineage: Eukaryota; Viridiplantae; Streptophyta; Magnoliopsida; Cornales; Cornaceae. The transcript has 2 exons. The record is from RefSeq and is a predicted model, not a curated record.
UAUUAUAUUUAAUAUAUAUGCAUUAAUUAGUGUAAGGAAAAAGAGGAAGACAAAUGGGUCUUCAGCCGAAUGUGGUUGCGGAUAGAUAGAGUAAUGAGUUAAUGAGAUGAUGAGGUUGUGUUGAUUUAUUUAAGAGAGAAGAGGGGAUUCGGGAGAAGGAGAGAGUGAUUUACAGUGAGGUGGGAGAAGGCAGAAGCUAGGAGAGAAGGAAGGUAGCAAAUAAGGGUGACCGGAAGGUUGGCCGGAGUUGGAGAUUUUAUUUUCCGGCGAAAUAUUCACUUCGGAUUUUAAAUCCUUAAGGCAAGUUCAUGCUCUACACUUCCCCUUUGAAUCCAUAAAUUCUUCACCUCUAUGCCUAUGCUUUUAUGUGAUCAAAAAUCAUGCUAGUAUUAGAUUUAUAAUUCUUUUUAUUUUCAAAAAAAAAGAAUUUUUGGAAUUAAAUGAUUUAAAGGUGUUUUAGAAUUUUUCUUGGGCCAAUUGUUAGAUUUAUGGCUUUAAAGAGGUUAAAUAAGGCUUCUAUAAUUUUUAGGAAUUUUUCUAUAUUUUUUUUAAAAAAAUUCCGGCCAUUUUUAUGUAUUAUACAAUUUCCGGCGAUAUUUUCCUUCCAUCGGUGGCCACUUAGUCGGAGAAGGAGAUGCUGAGUUAGGUGCGGUAUGGUAUACUGAGUUAUGGUGCGACAUAGAUCAGCACCAUUAAUUUGGCUUGAUUAAACAAGAGAAGUUCUGGUGCAUGCGCGCGCAUGAAAACUUCCAUGCAUUUGCAGGACCUGAUUUGGUGUGACGCGAGCACAUGGAGCUGCGGUGAAAUGAUCUGGUACGGCGCACACCAUCAGAGUUGAUGUAGCAGCUAAUCAGAAUGCGCCAUGUGUCAGGAGCUUAGCUUUUAAUCUGGUCCUUAUCGAAUUCAGCUUCAGAGAUGAGGACAUAGCGGAUUAGAAAUUUCAUUUAUCUUCCACUCUUCCGGAUUAUUUUAGUAUAGGAGUUUUUCCGACUUUAGAUUUAUUACGGAUUUUGGUUUAGGGGUCCUCAUAUUAAAGGAUUCCCGAGUUGUAUUAUUUGGAGUAUUAAUGGAGUUAUAAAGUUAAGGAUUUGUAUAUCUGGAUGUUAUUUAUUAAUUAUAAUUCAUUUUCGCUUUUA